CGGCGGACGGGUGAGUAACGCGUGGGUAACCUGCCUCAUACAGGGGGAUAACAGUUAGAAAUGACUGCUAAUACCGCAUAAGCGCACAGGACCGCAUGGUCAAGUGUGAAAAACUCCGGUGGUAUGAGAUGGACCCGCGUCUGAUUAGCUGGUUGGUGAGGUAACGGCCCACCAAGGCGACGAUCAGUAGCCGACCUGAGAGGGUGGCCGGCCACAUUGGGACUGAGACACGGCCCAAACUCCUACGGGAGGCAGCAG
RNAcentral lists this ribosomal RNA (258 nucleotides) under uncultured bacterium. RNAcentral describes it as "partial 16S ribosomal RNA". It matches the Rfam family "Bacterial small subunit ribosomal RNA", at positions 96 to 354 of the family's 1533-position model. The record is from RNAcentral.